UUUAUUCUGUUCAGUUGUUCACCUGUAGUUUCUUAGAGUGGCCAGUAGAGGUCACCCCACCGCUUUGUAUGAGAGAGGAUUCGGGCAGGGAGAUACGUGGGUGAGAUAUAUGAGCGUUUCCGCUCCCGAUUACCGGCGGAGAAGUGGUCAUUUCGUGAGAAGUGUGCGUUACUGAGCAACAGACCACACACACACACACAUACACCGCACCUAAACCUGUAUGUAACACCUGCUCCUCUGACAAGCCUGUUACCUCUGACCGUGUGAAGGCAAUACAAGCGUCUAAACCAU
This is a long non-coding RNA of Oreochromis aureus, 291 nucleotides long. RefSeq lists it as uncharacterized. The transcript has 2 exons. The record is from RefSeq and is a predicted model, not a curated record. NCBI's taxonomy places the organism in Eukaryota, Metazoa, Chordata, Actinopteri, Cichliformes, Cichlidae.